Molecule: transfer RNA, 71 nt
Filed under: Salamandrella keyserlingii (Siberian salamander)
Lineage: Eukaryota; Metazoa; Chordata; Amphibia; Caudata; Hynobiidae
Description: tRNA-Thr
Rfam family: tRNA
About the family: Transfer RNA (tRNA) molecules are approximately 80 nucleotides in length.
Source: RNAcentral
ACUUAGGUAGCUUAACUAAAGCAUCGGUCUUGUAAGCCGAAGAUGAGACUUAACCCUCUCUCAAAGUACCC